Molecule: non-coding RNA, 487 nt
Filed under: Lepisosteus oculatus (spotted gar)
Lineage: Eukaryota; Metazoa; Chordata; Actinopteri; Semionotiformes; Lepisosteidae
Description: Eukaryotic large subunit ribosomal RNA
Rfam family: Eukaryotic large subunit ribosomal RNA
Source: Rfam by way of RNAcentral
GAACAAUGUAGGUAAAGUCAGUCAGCAAGUCAGAUCCAUAACUUUGGGAUAAGGAUUGGCUCUAAGGGCUGGGUCGGUCGGGCUGGGUUGGGAAGCAGGGCUGGGCGCGAGUCUCGGCUGGAGCCCUCCCUCCCCUUCUCCCAGGAAGGCCGGGGUACCGGGGGGUCAAGCCAUCGUCCACGGCAGCGAAUCUGGACACGGCGCUGGGCCCAGAGGGGGGAGGGGAAGGCCGGCGGGCGGUCUCGGCCAGUGUUUAGCAGCUGGCUUAGAACUGGUGAGGACCAGGGGAAUUCAACUGUUUAAUUAAAACAAAGCAUCCUGAAGGCCCGUGGUGGGUGUCAACACGAUGCGAUUUCUGCCCAGUGCUCUGAAUGUCAAAGUGAAGAAAUUAAAUGAAGCGCGGCUAAACGGCGGGAGUAACUAUGACUCUCUUAACUCCCUUGGGUAAGGAGUGGAGACUUAGUGACCUCUACCUCCAUGUGGUUCC